UGCGCCUUGCCAGCCCGCUCAGAAACUUAAAGGAAUUGACGGGGGCCCGCACAAGCGGUGGAGCAUGUGGUUUAAUUCGAUGAUACGCGAGGAACCUUACCUGGGCUCAAAUGUAUGUUGACGUAUUCUGAAAGGGAUACUUCUUCGGACAAUAUACAAGGUGCUGCAUGGUUGUCGUCAGCUCGUGCCGUGAGGUGUCGGGUUAAGUCCCAUAACGAGCGCAACCCCUACCUUUAGUUGCCAUCAGGUUAAGCUGGGGACUCUAAAGGAACUGCCUACGCAAGUAGUGAGGAAGGCGGGGAUGACGUCAAAUCAGCACGGCCCUUACGUCCAGGGCUACACACGUGCUACAAUGGCCGAUACAGAGGGCAGCUACCUGGUGACAGGAUGCAAAUCUCCAAAGUCGGUCUCAGUUCGGAUCGGAGUCUGCAACCCGACUCCGUGAAGUUGGAUUCGCUAGUAAUCGCGCAUCAGCCAUGGCGCGGUGAAUACGUUCCCGGGCCUU
RNAcentral lists this ribosomal RNA (505 nucleotides) under uncultured Sphingobacteriales bacterium. RNAcentral describes it as "bacterial SSU rRNA". It matches the Rfam family "Bacterial small subunit ribosomal RNA", at positions 903 to 1382 of the family's 1533-position model. The record is from RNAcentral. Lineage: Bacteria; Pseudomonadati; Bacteroidota; Sphingobacteriia; Sphingobacteriales.